GGGCCUAUGGCGCAAUUGGUAGCGCGUAGUAAGUUUCACUGAAUCAAACAAUGGUUUCCAACAUCCACUAACCACUUCAACAGCGACUCCAGAUCGUAAGGUUGUCCGAUCGAGCCGGGCUGGGCUCA
Molecule: transfer RNA, 128 nt
Filed under: Aspergillus eucalypticola CBS 122712
Lineage: Eukaryota; Fungi; Ascomycota; Eurotiomycetes; Eurotiales; Aspergillaceae
Description: tRNA-OTHER
Source: RNAcentral